RNAcentral lists this ribosomal RNA (506 nucleotides) under uncultured bacterium. RNAcentral describes it as "bacterial SSU rRNA". It matches the Rfam family "Bacterial small subunit ribosomal RNA", at positions 25 to 518 of the family's 1533-position model. The record is from RNAcentral.
CAGGAUGAACGCUAGCUACAGGCUUAACACAUGCAAGUCGAGGGGCGAGCAUGUUGGUUGCUUGCAACCAAUGAUGGCGACCGGCGCACGGGUGAGUAACGCGUAUCCAACCUUCCCUAUAGUAGAGGAUAGCCCGGCGAAAGUCGGAUUAAUACUCUAUGUUUUCCAAUGCAGACAUCUAAGUUGGAACAAAGGUUCACCGCUAUAGGAUGGGGGAUGCGUCUGAUUAGAUAGUCGGCGGGGUAACGGCCCACCGAGUCGACGAUCAGUAGGGGUUCUGAGAGGAAGGUCCCCCACAUUGGAACUGAGACACGGUCCAAACUCCUACGGGAGGCAGCAGUGAGGAAUAUUGGUCAAUGGGCGAGAGCCUGAACCAGCCAAGUAGCGUGCAGGAUGACGGCCCUAUGGGUUGUAAACUGCUUUUAUACAGGGAUAAAGUGACGUACGUGUACGUUUUUGUAGGUACUGUAUGAAUAAGGACCGGCUAAUUCCGUGCCAGCCGCUGC